UCAGGAACGGUUGACCUUUGAGGAUGUGGCCAUCGAAUUCACUCAGGAGGAGUGGGAAUGCCUGGACCCUGCUCAGAGGGCCUUGUACAGGGACGUGAUGGUGGAGACCUACAGGAACCUGAUCUCCCUGGGAUUUUGCAGCAGUUAAGAACUAAACAUAUGCAGAGAGCAGCUCCUUGAAAGAGAAAAAGAAAUCGCUGAACUGAAAGCGGAAAGGAACACCACCAGGUCUGUGCAGGUCUGUUGCCAACACACCGCUUACACCUGAGCGGCCGUGACAGUCGUGUGAGCCCACAGCGUGCAGAAGGCCGUUUUGAUCUUAGCGAUUUCCCGUAAGUGCUUUAUUUCGUCCCUCAGCAAACAAGGCCGUUUAAGGAUUCCUUCCGUUAGAGGUCUUCUGAUGGUUCUCACGAGGAAGACCCGGCCAAAGUGCCCGAGCUCCGGGAAAUCUCAGACAAGCAGCCAAGAGCAGAGCCAGAUGAAGGAGCUGGACGCCCGGCCGCCUUCGGUACUCACAUGACAGAGCGGGAGGAAGGUCUGUACACGGCCGGAGAAGACCUCAUCGUAUCUGAGGAAGUGAACACGAAAUUGCAACUGAGGUGAGUGACAUUACCUCAUCGUAUCUGAGGAAGUGAACACGAAAUUGCAACUGAGGUGAGUGACAUUACAUGUGUCAGUGUUGUCAAGGGAACCAGACAUAAUCUAAGACAAAUAUGGUGAAUUGGCUGUGUGCACCUUCUGUGUGGUUCUCAGUGGGUCCUCACACAACCCAGAGAACAGGGCUGGCAACGAUCGUCUGCCUUGAGUAACUCAGCCUCCCCUGGAUGUCCAGGCCUUACUGCCUCUGGAGCAUUUUUGUGUGUUUGUUUUGUUGUCUGGUCAGAAAGUUUGCCUUUACACUUUGCUUCACUCUCCCUGCAGAUACUCCUCCACCUGUUACAGAAACCCCUAACUUGGCCGUGUUGAUUUUCUCUCAAUUUCAACCACUCUGCUUCCUCCUAGCUGGUAUGUCAGAGACAGAAAACUCAUCUCAAGAUGCCUUGGGCCUCAGCAAAUUGGGAGGACAGGCUGAAAACAAUGAAAAACAAGAGUCUUUAGAGGUCGAUCCUGAAAGUGGAAAACAGGCUGUUUAAUGCUUGCAAUCAACACACCCCCUUCCUGAGUCACCACCACACACACAGGGAAGCCCUCAGCAUGUGGAACAGACGGUCCUCUGCUACCCACCGUCCCAGGAGGGACUCAGGACAGAAAACUCCCACACAGAGACCAACAAGAUUGUUUCUUGCAUUACCAAGUGUGUGACUGAGCCUCCGGUAAAAAUGAUGACUAGGCGACUUGAAACAAGUGACCAAAUAUAUAGUCUUAUAAGACCAAUGAUUUUAAUAGCGUAACUCUACAUAUGGGAAGAAGCAACAAGAGAGAACCAUUUCCUGGACCACAACAGACUGGUAAGACACCAUGCAGAGGCCUUUGGCUACUGUUGUAUUAGGGGCAGGGCGCAUGCGGGACGUCGCCGGUGCAGUGUGGCAGUGGCCCUGUGGCCACAGUCUCCUCGGGCCGCAGUCCAGCUCCCAUUUGCCCACUCGCCCCCUUUGCCGGCGCAGUCACCAAGCCUGCAACAACCAACCACGCAGCACCCCUCCUCUGUUUAAAAGGAGCCCGAAAUCUGACUGGGGGAAGAUGGCUCGUGGAGACACUGGUCCGCCCUCUUCUUUCCCAAAUAAAAAGUCGCUCUGCCUUGCCCCAGCAACUCGCCUCUCAAUUUACUGGCCUGUCGUGCAGCAAGCAGAACGACCUUGGACUCUCUAUCAAUUUUGGCGAAGCCGGCCAGGAGCCUUGCUGCUUGUGGUCAGCCCCGGUUGGGGAUUUUCGGGUAAGGCCCUAACAGCUGCUGGGACCGCUUGUCCUGAGGAUCUUCCCUUUAAAAUUCCCUAAAGCGGCACCAGAUGCCCCAGCGCUUGGCAGUGGGAGCAAGGAAUCGACAUCUGGGAGCUCCAUACAGAUGGAAUCGACGGGCUCCAGACAGUAGGUCACUUCAGCCCUAAAGCCAGCCACCAUCGCUCCCGACUGCGGCUGCACAAUCCCCAGAGCACAGCUGCCUGCGCGUCGUGGGGCUGGUGUGCUCCGGCAGACCAGGCCGAACAGACAGCUCCUGGCUGAGGCAGGCACGGACGGACCUGUUCACAGUAGGUGACGUGCUGGGUAUGUGGUGGUUAACCCUUGAAAGGACUGACUCUCGCUAUGCAUUCUCCGUGGGGCAUGCUCACGGCGCCAUCUGGAAAGAAAGGGGGCUCCUCACUUCAAACAAUAAAGACAUAAAACAUGCUUCUGAAAUCUUGUCCCUGUUAGAAGCAGUCCACAAGCCCUCACAAGUGGCCGUAAUGCACCGCCCAGGCCACCAGAAGGGUGAGACUCAUAUAACAAAAGGCAACCGGUUAGCUGACCAAGCUGCAAAGAAAAUAGCAAAGGCAGGCGAUUACCAAGCCAUCAUAGGGUCACUUCUCCCGCAGACUGACUUGUCAAAAUACCAGCCGGAAUAUUCAGAAAAGGACGAGGAGAGGGCCGAAGAGAGGGAAUUCACUCUUGAUCACACCUCGCCUGGCUAGAAAUGUAGUGCACAUGGAACUGACUUGAUUUCUGAGGCUCUCGCGGACACUGCUGCAGCACAUUCGUAACAGUACCCACCACGGGAGAGAUGCCGCCUUACAGUGCGAUUCAAAAGUAUAUAAUGGGGCCUGACCUACAGAGGGCCAUCCAGGGAGUCACUGAAAAUUGCAUGAUUUGUGCUAAAAAUAACCCAAAUACUGCUGUCAGAUCUCCCCAGAUGGGGACCCAACACAGAGGACUCCGCGAGCCACCAAGGACUGGCAAAUAGACUUUACUCAAGUUGAUAGGGACAGAGUAAAGGGACAAAGUAGGCGGUUGAAUAGUUAAUCCCACUAGGGGAGUGCAAGUAAAGAAAAAAGCAUGGGAGACCCCUGUUAAGUUAAUGAUCACUCAAAUGAGCAGGUUUGCUUAACCACAAAACCAAGCAACAGAAGCCUGAGACACGCCCCCGAACAAUAAAACAAGGGUCGCCUGAGACCCACAUCUGCCCAGUGAGCUCAGUAAGUUGACCCCUAGACAUGCUCCUCUGCGCACACUAAAAACAAGUAUAUAAGGAGAAGGUGACAUGCUGAAACCUGAGAUGGUUUAUCAUAUUUUAGUAUAUGUUACCACCUUUUUUCCUCACUUCCGUUGCUCCAUGACAGUCCCAGUUUGGCCAUGUAGGGACAAGAAAAAUCCCCCACCUGAUGUGGAGGCAGAGCUGAGGAUGGAAGCUUGACGUCUACUCAAGAAUGAGGAAGGAGGUGGUCCUCUCCCCCUCCCCACUUCUCCUUUGAUUAUAAAACAGGAGCCCACUAAGUUCUGGGGGCGGCACCUUCUCGCCCACCCGCAAGCCUCACAAGCAUGCUAGUCUAAUAGAUCACUUUGCCUCUCCCUGAAGAACGAGCUCCUCAGAGCCCCCCAAGACACAUUUCAGUGGUUUCAGCUGGCGACCACAAAGGGGCAGUGGUAAGAUAAGGAGGAGGGGGGUCGGGUCCUAGAGGGGCUGUGGAUGCCAGGAGGACUGGGGAGGGCACUCCCCCAAUGUGUGCCCCUUUUAGGCGGCUGGUCAACCCCGAAUGCUUUAGGACUCUGAUGAGAGAUCUAGAUACAGACCAGAGGAACAAUGAUAUGGAUGUUUAGAGACACAGAACCAGAGGAAUGCUGGCAGUCAGCAUGGCUUGCCACAGAAAGAUGCUGUGCAUGUUUAGGGACCCGGAAGGACACAUACAUUCUGGGUCUGUCCCUGUUGUACUCAAGUCUGUAAACUUAACUAUUCCAACUGUUAUUUAUAAGCUGAUAAGUUUUGUUUUGCAAUGCCUGUCUUAUGAACAAGUUUUAAAAUGAAACUAUGAGAUCUCUGUCUGUCUGGAUAUAUGUGUGUCUUAUGUGGUCUUGUCUUUAGAUAGUAUUGCUAAGGUUAAUUUGUAAAUGAGCUCAAUUUAAUUGGCUUAAAAAAAUAAGUGCUUACAAAUUAAACAUUUCUGAAUACAAGAGAAACUAAGCUAAAUGGAUUUCAGGUUCACAUGACCUGAGAAAUAUUUAAUAUUAAAUUAAUAUUUGGUAUUAAAGUUUGUUGUUAUUAAAGUUUGUUAAUUAAUAUAGACAUGUCUUUAGAGUCAUCAACAUGAAGCACAGUAUUUUUAUUGUACCUGGGUUUGCUGAAAGUCACUAAGUUCAUACUAUUUUUGUUGUAAAAUCUGUCAGCAAGAACAUUAACCCCUCAUUGUCAGACUUGUACUUGUAGCAUGGCCACUGUCUGCUCCUAAAUGAGCGAACUUAAAUGGGUAAAUAACAGCUGCAAAUUGAACAGUCAGGGCUAUGGGAAAUCCAAGACAGCCACUUGGCUUCUCCUGGAUCCCUGGCAAACCCCAUUUUUUAUUUAAUGGUUUAAACCCUUUCUUGGCUACAAGGCUGAUACCCUCACAGUGGAAAAAAGAAUGGUUUAAAAACGUGUUUUGGGCUUCCCUGGUGGCGCAGGGGUUGGGAGUCCACCUGCCGAUGCAGGGGACACGAGUUCGUGCCCCGGUCCAAUCCCACAUGCCGCGGAGCGG
This is a non-coding RNA of Delphinapterus leucas (beluga whale), 4640 nucleotides long. Lineage: Eukaryota; Metazoa; Chordata; Mammalia; Artiodactyla; Monodontidae. The record is from RefSeq and is a predicted model, not a curated record.